AUGCUUGACCAAAGUAGAAAUGCCUUUGAUAGCUUGGUCUCAAGGACCAGACAUUUGUCAAUAUGCUAGGUUGUCAAUAUGCUAGGUUGCAUUUAAGUGUUGUUUUAAAAGUGGAGGGUUAAAAGUUUCAAUUAAAAUGUUUUCUUCAUAAAUUG
This is a long non-coding RNA of Biomphalaria glabrata, 155 nucleotides long. RefSeq lists it as uncharacterized. Lineage: Eukaryota; Metazoa; Mollusca; Gastropoda; Planorbidae. The transcript is spliced from 2 exons. The record is from RefSeq and is a predicted model, not a curated record.